Oncorhynchus tshawytscha (Chinook salmon) is the source of this 1289-nucleotide long non-coding RNA. RefSeq lists it as uncharacterized. NCBI's taxonomy places the organism in Eukaryota, Metazoa, Chordata, Actinopteri, Salmoniformes, Salmonidae. The record is from RefSeq and is a predicted model, not a curated record. The transcript is spliced from 3 exons.
UAAAGGGCAUUAUCAUUUUCACAAUUUCACAGAAUUAUUCCAACAGUGUGGAAACAUAAAACUCAUAAAUAACACAGUAAAAUCACGUUCUGACUGCAAUGGGCCUUUAUAGACUGCCACCUUUUUCUUAUUUUGUCAAAGCAAUUACUGGAAGUCGUUUCCACUUCUCAACCCUUGAGUGCACACUUGGCCUGAACUGGGGUGAGGCUGUGACACACUGAGGGCAUUGUCAUAAUUAAUUAUAGUGCUGAUAAUUCAGAUUUCUGAUUUGCCCCUCUUUCUACACACCCAGCUCAUUAUUACUCUGUCUUGCUCAUCAGAUGCAUGCAUCAAUGCCCUCUCCUGCAGGCUGUAGGGCAACACCCUCAUAAAUGAAUAAAAACAGAGUAGACUAAAAGCAUUAUAUUCUUUACUUCAAACAUCCCUUCCUGCGGUUGUUUAACUGGUGAUUGUAUCUCAUUGUUGACUUUUGGAACUCUGCCUUUGUUUCCUACAACUAUAGAUGAGUUUAAAUCAGGCAACAUCAGCACAGACCUUCGGUGGUGUGUCUUCACCAGGAGGGGGAGUCCCUACUUUACACAGACUCAGGUAUGCCAGGUGUCACUCAGAGCCUGUUCAGCCCAAGUGGCAGAGAGAGGUAGACGGAGCUCAGACACAGAUACGUUGAGGGUUUUCCCUGAGAGUUAUAUUUCCAAGGAUUCACUCACCUUCCAAGACAAGGGGGAGGACAUUUCUGCCUAUAAACAACAAGGUAAAAACAAUGCAUGAUGCGCAAUCACCACCCACUUGGGUACCAGAAACAAUACAGAGGACAUCCGCGCGCCACACCUUCCUACUGUUUAUCCAUGAGCAAAAGAUACACCGCCGACCCUCCCCACCGCAAAGCAGCUGAAGGCCUGUCAUCGGAACCUCAUAGCAUCUGGCUCGGAGGAUCAUCGUCCCUUCCCAAACUAUUUUAAUAAACGUUCAUACUUUAAUUUAGUCUUUGUUGUUCAUUCAGUUAGCCUGUCAUUGUUUGAACUGAUGUUAACAUGUAGAGGUGGUUAUUGGAUACUGUCUGCUUAGUAGAGGUGAGGGGAAUUAUGUGUUAAGUAGGUCAUAAUUUACAUGUAGUAAAUGUUAUUCUAGUAUUUGUAAGGUGGUAACUGUAUAAUUGAUGCGUGUACAUAGCUCUGAAAGGAAUGCUGUGAAGUUGUAAGACCUAACCAGGCCAGUGGAAGUCAGUGCUACUGUGGCUUCUUUAUUAAACAUCUACUUUUGUAUCUGAUUGGUUCCUCAAUAAAUAUUUC